GAUGAACGCUGGCGGCGUGCCUAAUACAUGCAAGUCGAGCGAACGGACGAGAAGCUUGCUUCUCUGAUGUUAGCGGCGGACGGGUGAGUAACACGUGGAUAACCUACCUAUAAGACUGGGAUAACUUCGGGAAACCGUAGCUAAUACCGGAUAAUAUUUUGAACCGCAUGGUUCAAAAGUGAAAGACGGUCUUGCUGUCACUUAUAGAUGGAUCCGCGCUGCAUUAGCUAGUUGGUAAGGUAACGGCUUACCAAGGCAACGAUGCAUAGCCGACCUGAGAGGGUGAUCGGCCACACUGGAACUGAGACACGGUCCAGACUCCUACGGGAGGCAGCAGUAGGGAAUCUUCCGCAAUGGGCGAAAGCCUGACGGAGCAACGCCGCGGGAGUGAUGAAGGUCUUCGGAUCGUAAAACUCUGUUAUUAGGGAAGAACAUAUGUGUAAGUAACUGUGCACAUCUUGACGGUACCUAAUCAGAAAGCCACGGCUAACUACGUG
Molecule: ribosomal RNA, 497 nt
Filed under: uncultured bacterium
Lineage: Bacteria
Description: partial 16S ribosomal RNA
Rfam family: Bacterial small subunit ribosomal RNA
Source: RNAcentral